Molecule: ribosomal RNA, 497 nt
Filed under: uncultured bacterium
Lineage: Bacteria
Description: partial 16S ribosomal RNA
Rfam family: Bacterial small subunit ribosomal RNA
Source: RNAcentral
GAUGAACGCUGGCGGCGUGCCUAAUACAUGCCGGUCGAGCGAACAGAUGAGGAGCUUGCUCCUCUGACGUUAGCGGCGGACGGGUGAGUAACACGUGGAUAACCUACCUAUAAGACUGGGAUAACUUCGGGAAACCGGAGCUAAUACCGGAUAAUAUAUUGAACCGCAUGGUUCAAUAGUGAAAGACGGUUUUGCUGUCACUUAUAGAUGGAUCCGCGCCGCAUUAGCUAGUUGGUAAGGUAACGGCUUACCAAGGCAACGAUGCGUAGCCGACCUGAGAGGGUGAUCGGCCACACUGGAACUGAGACACGGUCCAGACUCCUACGGGAGGCAGCAGUAGGGAAUCUUCCGCAAUGGGCGAAAGCCUGACGGAGCAACGCCGCGUGAGUGAUGAAGGUCUUCGGAUCGUAAAACUCUGUUAUUAGGGAAGAACAAAUGUGUAAGUAACUAUGCACGUCUUGACGGUACCUAAUCAGAAAGCCACGGCUAACUACGUG